Oncorhynchus nerka (sockeye salmon) is the source of this 2719-nucleotide long non-coding RNA. RefSeq lists it as uncharacterized. The transcript has 2 exons. NCBI's taxonomy places the organism in Eukaryota, Metazoa, Chordata, Actinopteri, Salmoniformes, Salmonidae. The record is from RefSeq and is a predicted model, not a curated record.
CUCAAUAUCUUAUAACACAGUUUUCUGGUGGAUGGUACUUUUAUUAUCACUUCUGUACUAAUUUCACCAGUAUGUGGUACACUUUCACAACUCUUAGUACAAAACUCCAAACAGAUCAUCCAAAAGGCAGUUUUUUCAAAACUUUAAGCACAUUUUCUAUUGACUAAGUACAACACAUAAUCACCAAACCUAAUCGGUGUGUCAUCUAGAAAUAACUUUCAUAUAAAGUAAUUGCCUUUCACAAUGCAACGCUCACAAUACUUUUGAUAUUAUUUUCUCAUUUGUUUAAAUGCAUUUCACCAUCACUUAAUCCAAUUUAGCUUAAUGGUUAAUCACUUAACCAUUUGGUAGACCUGUAGAUUUGAAUACUAUACAUGAAUUUUGAGACCUACAGAAAUAACAGAAAUAAAGUGUUUUUAAAGUAGAAACAUCUAAAUUUGUCACGUUCGUCAUAUACAUAAUGAGUGGACCAAGGCGCAGCGUGAGUAGAGUUCCACAUAUUUAUUAAAGUUAACCUUCAAAAAAACAACAAAGAAUACAUGAACGUGACGUUUGUAGCGCACACAGCACUAAAACAAAACAAUAUCCCACAAACGCAAGUGGGAAAAGGACCACACUAAGUAUGAUCCCCAAUUAGAGGCAACGAUCAUCAGCUGCCUCCAAUUGGGAACCAUACUCACACCAACAUAGAAAUUCAAGACUAGAACACCCCCUAGUCACACUCUGACCUAUUGCACCAUAGAGAACCCCAAGGGCUCACUAUGGUCAAUGCGUGACAAAAUUACAUGUAUGAUACAUGAUAACCAUACAUAAUGAAUAUUCAUUAUUGCUAAUUGAUUUCACUUAGUGGUAACCACAAUUGGUCACCAUAUAAAAGGGGGUAUGCUCGGUUCUACCCCCAGAAUUGACAGAAGACCUUAUGGUGUUCUGUCUGGCUGUCACGCCCUGACCUUAGUAUUCUUUGUUCUCUUUAUUAUUUUGGUUAGGUCAGGGUGUGACAUGGGUGAUAUGUGUGUUUUUGUCUCAUUCUAGGGUGUUUGUACUGUCUAGGGGAUUUUGUAGAUUUAUGGGGUUGCUUUCAUCUAGGUGUUUAUGUUGGUCUAUGUUUGCCUAGAUUGGUUCUCAAUUAGAGGCAGGUGUUUAUCGUUGUCUCUGAUUGGGAACCAUAUUUAGGCAGCCAUCUUCUUUGGGUAUUUCGUGGGUUGUUUUCUAUGUCUAGUUGCACGUUAGCACAUUGUUUAUAUAGCGGUCACGGUAGUCUUAUUCGUUUUUUGUUUAAGUGGUCUUCAUUAAAUAAUGUAUUCUAACCACGCUGCAUAUGACAAUCGUGACACUGGCUGUGUUCUGUCUGACCAGCAGGAGUGGGCAGUGGUGGAAAAGGUGAGGGCCAGGAAUGACAUACGGCUGUCUGAAAUAAAGCAGGCCAUUAAGGAGAACGAUGACACCUUUGCCAAUGUGGCAUCCAUCAGUCUACCAACAAUCUCCCGCCUUUUGAAGAGGCACCAGCAGGCUUCAACGUGGCCAAUACUUUUCUCCGUGGGUGAAACCUCAUUGGCCAACGGGUGACCGUCCAAGUGCCUGGACAACGUGGGGGAAACAUCUCCAUGUGCGCAGCGAUCUCUAAAGAUGGUGUGGUAGGACGUAGGCCAUUACUUGGAUCCUACAACACUGAACACCUCAUUGUGUUUCUCAAUUAAAGCAGACAUGCUAAGGUGAAGGGGUCACCUAUGUCAUUGUGUGGGACAAUGUCAGGUUGCACAGGUUCAAUGCAGACCAAUGUCAAGCUUGGAUUCGCCAUGUCAAAAGGUGUUUCCCGCGGCACAUAAACAAUGAGGUCAUUCCCUGCGAUGUAGAUUAGAAUGUAUGGCCAGAUGCUCAAGACAGGCUUGAUUCAAAUGAAUGCGUGCUAAACGUUAUGUUUUAUUUUCAUUCAUUUAAUUUGUUUCUUAACUUCUUACAUUUGAUUAGACACUACACCUUUUGCAAUUAUACCUGAAAAAUGUAUGUUUUUUGCAUUAAUAAUUGUAGAGGAUGUCUUUAUUGAGCACACCUUUGAUUACACAUUGGAUAGAUAUUAUGGAAAUUGUAGAUUCUGUCAAUUUUGUUGGGCAAUAUAAGUGUAUUGUCUAAUGUGAAAUGUAAUUUGCAGCACUGUAGCAUAUCACUUUCAGCACUUCUAAAGGUGAUUUGAUUGGAUUAACUGGAUUAACUGGUAGUUAAAAUGACUAAAUUGAAAAUAUAUAAUUACAUAUCGUGUUGGUUAUUAAACCAAUGUUCUCAUUACAUUUCACAAUAAACGUAUGUUGAUUCAAAAUAUAUUUGGUUGUGUGGUGGGAGAUGUUUACAAUCCAAAUGAAUGCACCAUGACAGGUUUUGAAUGAAAGACGUGUGACCAGUUUGGAGUUUUGUACUAAGAGUUGUGAAAAUGUAUCACAUACUUGUGAAAAUAGUACCAAAGCGAUUUAAACAAACUGUUGUGCUGUGUAAGGGAUAGGGACACUAGGUUAACUGAUUUUUGCCUUGUCAGCUCGGGGAUUCGAUCCUUUCAGUUAUUGGCCCAACCCGCUAAUCACCAGGCAACUAACUAACAUCACUACCUUCCAAGUUCUACUCAAUGUUUUACACUACUUAUUUACUACAUACAUGAAUGGCAAGUCAGUACUGAUGAUGUUGACUGAUUUCCUUAUGAUCUGUAACUCAGUAAAAUCUUAAACUGUUG